GGAUUAGAUACCCUGGUAGUCCACGCCGUAAACGAUGGAUACUAGCCGUUCGAGAAACUAAUCUCUUGAGUGGCGAAGCUAACGCAUUAAGUAUCCCGCCUGGGGAGUACACUGGCAACGGUGAAACUCAAAGGAAUUGACGGGGGCCCGCACAAGCGGUGGAGUAUGUGGUUUAAUUCGAAGCAACGCGCAGAACCUUACCUGGCCUUGACAUCCUGAGACAAUCUUAGAGAUAAGACUUUCACUUCGGUGACUCAGUGACAGAUGCUGCAUGGCUGUCGUCAGCUCGUGCCG
RNAcentral lists this ribosomal RNA (294 nucleotides) under uncultured bacterium. RNAcentral describes it as "partial 16S ribosomal RNA". It matches the Rfam family "Bacterial small subunit ribosomal RNA", at positions 775 to 1067 of the family's 1533-position model. The record is from RNAcentral.